UCUCCUCUCCAAACAUGUGCCCGUUCCCAUCUGUCCUCUCCCUCUCGACCCGCGGCGAGGCUCCGGCGUCGCGCCCUGUCCUCCCCGUGUCCGGAGAUGGCCCGGCUGGGUGCCGCUCAUACGGAGGCUCCUUCGUCCAGGGCCUCCGCCGGCUCAAGAUUUGGCGGCCCUCUGCUCCUCAACGCCCCACAUCGAGCGCCCAAUCCAGGAAAAUAGCCCCGUUGCGCUGCGCUCCUCAUACCCCUGCGUCGUCACAAGAUGGUCCGGCUGGGCGCCGCUAUGACGGACGAGCGUUUGAUGUCCAUGGAAGCCAGCUCCACCACCCAGGCCCUCCUCUGCAAGGCCGGCGAGGACACUGCUUUCUCCAAGCAGAUCGCGCAGGCAUCCAAGAUUCCAUACCGUGUAUAACGGCUUUGACAUUAAUUUAGAGUACACUUUGCCCUUCUCAAGCAAUUUCAAGGUUAAUUGUGAUACAUGUGGCAUUUCAAGUAGUAAUUCCGCCCAAAGAAAACCAGAUGGAGGAAAAAAUGUGUGUUGCUUUUAUCCGGGAAAACUGAGACUCAGAUGCACAUGCCAAGACCACCGUUAAUUUAUUGCGUGUUUAACGGCUCAGAAUGAAGAAUUGCUACACCGGAACCAGGGCCAUGCAGUGAUUGAUAUUUCGCUUGUGUCGCAGUUUCAUCUGAGGUAAGUUAUAAAUGAUGCAUUGCUUCACCGUAUUAUAUGCCGAUGCUCUCAUAAUUUAAUCUAUCCGGCGUAUAUACAACUUUCUUGGUGAUCGUAUUUUUCAUGUUGUGUGUUGAUGUGUAUCACAACCUAACAUGCAGACAUAGAUAAAUUGUAAUUACUGUUGUAUACCGUUGGUUUUGGUAAAAGCUCAUGCUUUAUAUGUUUUGGUGGGUUUUGGUAAAACCACUUCUCACCUUCAGAGAUAUAUGUUUGUUGCUUGCUCUACACAUGUCUGGUGCUCCAGUAAAUGCAUUCGUUUGAUCUGACCAUGGUGCAUGGCAUACAUGUACGGAGAAACUUUGUAUAGUGUUGUUAGCUGGUGGCAUCUACAAUUUAAGAUAAUCUAUGUGACUUAAGAUGAUGCAUGCAUGAAUUAAACCUGUCUAUUAGAAUAACUAACCUCGCAAUAUGAAACACUGCUAUAUGUACUCCUUCAACUUAACAAAAAUGAUGUGCCCACUUGUUUUGUCAAUUGCAAAGAGGUGCGUAUGAUAUGGAGAAUUCUGAACAUGGAAGAUGAAAGACAGAUGUUGGCUGAGUGUGCUGGUCCUAAAGUGUUCCUUCAAUGCUUCUUCACCUGGGAGGCCUCCAAACAAAUGCUAUGUAUUUGCUCUUAUGUGGACGUGGUGGCUAAUCUGAAACAAAGUCAAUGUUGGAGAGAAAAGAUGCCAUGUGAAUGACACACUGUACUGAAUCAGAAGAAAUGUUGUAGAUUAUGAGAUGUUAUGUCUGAAGAAACAAACAACGACUGUGACAGUGGCUCAAAGAUGGAAACCGCCUGAAGCUGAUGUGCUGAAAGUGAACAUUGAUGGUAGUUUCUUCUCGGAUUCAGCUGAGGGAGGCUCUGGUUUUAUAGUCAGAGACAACUCAUGCAAUGCGGUGGGCUCAGGAGCAGGAAAACUUCGUCAGCUUCAAGACCCUAUGCAUGCAGAGGCGGAGGCGUGCUUGCAUGCAAUUCAGGAGGCUCAAACUUGGGCAAUGAGGAGAAUUACUAGACAGACGCACAGGAACUGGUGAAAGCCACCACAUCAAAAGAUUAGGACCUGGCACCUAACGGUGUUCUCUUCCAGGAGAUCAAAGCUUACCUAGCUUUACAUUUUGUUAUGUUUAAAUAAAGUAAAGUACUGUCCUAGACUUUGUAAUAAGGUUGCUGAUGCCCUUGUGGCAUUCGGUGUGAAGAUUUGGUUGCUAGCGAUCUUGCUGUGCACUCUGGUUAAUGUAAUAAGGUUUUCCAUUAAUUCUUUUAACAAAACAAAA
This is a non-coding RNA of Aegilops tauschii subsp. strangulata, 1986 nucleotides long. The record is from RefSeq and is a predicted model, not a curated record. NCBI's taxonomy places the organism in Eukaryota, Viridiplantae, Streptophyta, Magnoliopsida, Poales, Poaceae.